Molecule: long non-coding RNA, 1373 nt
Organism: Monomorium pharaonis (pharaoh ant)
Lineage: Eukaryota; Metazoa; Arthropoda; Insecta; Hymenoptera; Formicidae
Exons: 2
Source: RefSeq, a predicted model, not a curated record
AUAGACAAUAACAAAUAGUGCCUCCCUAUAAUUUCAUGUAAAAAACGAAAAAAGUUAGAAAAUUAUACUUUUGUGCAGUCGUCUCGUAUCUUUCAUCUGCAACACAUAAGUUUUAAAGACUCUGUACGUACAAAUAACUAGUACGCACUAAUCUUAUUACAUGAAAGAAUAAUAAAAUGCUUGCAGAAAUGAGCUAGAAGCUUUGGUAUAAGAAAAAAGCCUCAGAGAAAAUUUCGUAUAUAUGUGUGAGUGAAGAAUCGGUCCGAAGCGGUCCGAGGAUAGAAACAGAGCACUAGUUUAGUUGCAGAAUAUCAUGAUAGGUGGUGCUGUAAUCAAAUGUGCGGUGAAGUGCAUCAUUGGAUCAUAUGAUAAUCUAUCGACCUAAUUAGACUUGAGGUCGGUUUGUAUUUUUCAGUCGAUUUUCACGAUUAUCCCUAUUCCUCUCGUUUCGUAGCUUUCUGACUGCUUGUGAGAAUGUAAUGUGAAAAAGUAGCGAGUUCUUGCGAGUUGAACAGGCCUGAUAUAUACAUAUGCACGCACGUACACAUAUACGCGCACGCAUUACUUUGAAAACUACGACACGAUUGUAAAAGUCGAUAACAAAAGUAGAAUAUUGUAAUUUUUUUUCGUUUUUCGAAUGAAAUUGUGGUUAGCACUAAAUUUUAUUAUCUAUACUUUAAUUCUGGAGAAGGAUUUAGAAUUCUGUUUACUCAAUAAAAAGAUUUCCCUAAUUUAAAAUAACAAUAAUGUGAGAUCGUCUCUGCGAGUCCUAGAAGCAGGAUUGCCAUGCAGGACCGUCUAUGGGCGCUUCAGCGCCAUGGACACGGCACAUGUAUAAAUUUAGAUAGUGAAGCAAAAACUUGGCUCGCAUUUUUACUGUGUUUUCAGAACUUUAUGUUUAUUCACAAACGUAUAAAUAAAAAUGCAAUAAUAUGACUUGGGCAUACUAAAUUUUUGUACACCAAUUUUUUUUAUUAAUAAAUGUUGUUAUAUGGUAUCAGCAAUACAAUAUUAUUAUGGUAAGGAGCCAAAAUCUAUAAAAAGAGAGGAGAUAAUGUUGACAAUAAUGAAAAAUCUCUAGAAUUUAUAAAUUUAUUUCUGAAGUUGACAACACUGUGGUGCAUUCAGGAGUAGCACGGAGGUAUGUAGUGCAGAGCCGUGAUUGUGACAGAUGGUGCAUGGAAAAUCAGAAUAACCUCGCGGAGAUGACAGGUCAGCCAGACGCAGACAGAAUCUGCUGAACAAAAUCUGACAGCAUAUUGGCGGCAGAAAAGCAGCAGAUCUGUGCAUCGAAUGCGGUCUCUGUCUGCGGAACGCAAGCUUGGUGCGGACACAGUAGGCUGUGACUUUGCUGUGGGAUUCUACUUUUGCAG